UCCUGUAAAAUAUUAAAAUCUAAUUAAGACUAUAAUUUGACAACAGUUUACCAAAACCUAGGCACAAAACAAACCUAUUUAAGAACAUUGCGAAAUACAUUUUUUUAAUCUGUAUUCCAUCCUUCAUCCAGUUGUCACUUGACAUUGUUUUUUUUAUGAUUUUUUUCAACAUUUUCAGAAAGUGUUUACUGUGUUGGUUAAAACAAAUACUGUUGGAAUAAUGGUUAGACUUAGCGUGUUAUCAUUUUCUUCUCUAUUACUUGGUACCCUUAUGUUUGGAACUGGGUUGGCUUGCUAUCUCAAAGACUUGAGUUUAUACGAAAAAGAUGAGGCACAUAAUGCAAUCCUACGAGUUUUCAUCGGCAGCGUGGUCAUUGUAUUCGUUCCUAUCGUGUAUGCAUCGUUGACCAGCUGUGGAGCAAUGCCUGGAGUUCUCAAUAGUGCGGGUUGAGCCGGAGGGCGGCGCGACCAGGAAGCGGCCGGGGGCGUGUAUUCGGCAACAGUCGCAGAACGCGCCACCGCCGCGCCUGCGACGGAGACACUGCUAAGAGGCGAAUAGCUGAAGAACAGUUUGGUGUAUUGAAGCAAAAAUUGAGAAGUAAGUGGAGAAUACAAUCGUAUUUUCAAGGUUCGUGAGUCUUUUAUAACAUUGCAAGUGGUCUCCGAUUAUAGAAAAUGAAGAGAAAUAAACCUUACGAUUCUCACAUUUGCGUCGAAUUUACGCGUUGAAAAAGUAAGUCACUGCGUGUGAAGAUAUACAUUGGUCUUCUUGAAUAAAAUUUGAAGUUUAA
This is an RNA transcript of Trichoplusia ni (cabbage looper), 791 nucleotides long. RefSeq lists it as uncharacterized. NCBI's taxonomy places the organism in Eukaryota, Metazoa, Arthropoda, Insecta, Lepidoptera, Noctuidae. The transcript has 5 exons. The record is from RefSeq and is a predicted model, not a curated record.